GGGUUGUGAGGUUAAGCGACUAAGCGUACACGGUGGAUGCCCUGGCAGUCAGAGGCGAUGAAGGACGUGCUAAUCUGCGAAAAGCGUCGGUAAGGUGAUAUGAACCGUUAUAGCCGGCGAUGUCCGAAUGGGGAAACCCAGUGUGAUUCGUCACACUAUCGUUAACUGAAUACAUAGGUUAACGAGGCGAACCGGGGGAACUGAAACAUCUAAGUACCCCGAGGAAAAGAAAUCAACCGAGAUUCCCCCAGUAGCGGCGAGCGAACGGGGAGCAGCCCAGAGUCUGAAUCAGCUUGUGUGUUAGUGGAACGGUCUGGAAAGUCCGACGGUACAGGGUGAUAGUCCCGUACACCAAAAUGCACAGGCUGUGAACUCGAAGAGUAGGGCGGGACACGUGGUAUCCUGUCUGAAUAUGGGGGGACCAUCCUCCAAGGCUAAAUACUCCUGACUGACCGAUAGUGAACCAGUACCGUGAGGGAAAGGCGAAAAGAACCCCGGCGAGGGGAGUGAAAAAGAACCUGAAACCGUGUACGUACAAGCAGUGGGAGCACCUUCGGGUGUGACUGCGUACCUUUUGUAUAAUGGGUCAGCGACUUAUAUUCUGUAGCAAGGUUAACCGUAUAGGGGAGCCGCAGGGAAACCGAGUCUUAACUGGGCGUUAAGUUGCAGGGUAUAGACCCGAAACCCGGUGAUCUAGCCAUGGGCAGGUUGAAGGUUGGGUAACACUAACUGGAGGACCGAACCGACUAAUGUUGAAAAAUUAGCGGAUGACUUGUGGCUGGGGGUGAAAGGCCAAUCAAACCGGGAGAUAGCUGGUUCUCCCCGAAAGCUAUUUAGGUAGCGCCUCGUGAACUCAUCUUCGGGGGUAGAGCACUGUUUCGGCUAGGGGGUCAUCCCGACUUACCAACCCGAUGCAAACUACGAAUACCGAAGAAUGUUAUCACGGGAGACACACGGCGGGUGCUAACGUCCGUCGUGAAGAGGGAAACAACCCAGACCGCCAGCUAAGGUCCCAAAGUCAUGGUUAAGUGGGAAACGAUGUGGGAAGGCACAGACAGCCAGGAUGUUGGCUUAGAAGCAGCCAUCAUUUAAAGAAAGCGUAAUAGCUCACUGGUCGAGUCGGCCUGCGCGGAAGAUGUAACGGGGCUAAACCAUGCACCGAAGCUGCGGCAGCGACACUAUGUGUUGUUGGGUAGGGGAGCGUUCUGUAAGCCUGCGAAGGUGGCCUGUGAGGGUUGCUGGAGGUAUCAGAAGUGCGAAUGCUGACAUAAGUAACGAUAAAGCGGGUGAAAAGCCCGCUCGCCGGAAGACCAAGGGUUCCUGUCCAACGUUAAUCGGGGCAGGGUGAGUCGACCCCUAAGGCGAGGCCGAAAGGCGUAGUCGAUGGGAAACAGGUUAAUAUUCCUGUACUUGGUGUUACUGCGAAGGGGGGACGGAGAAGGCUAUGUUAGCCGGGCGACGGUUGUCCCGGUUUAAGCAUGUAGGCUGGUUAUCCAGGCAAAUCCGGAUAAUCAAGGCUGAGGUGUGAUGACGAGGCACUACGGUGCUGAAGUAACAAAUGCCCUGCUUCCAGGAAAAGCCUCUAAGCAUCAGGUAACAUCAAAUCGUACCCCAAACCGACACAGGUGGUCAGGUAGAGAAUACCAAGGCGCUUGAGAGAACUCGGGUGAAGGAACUAGGCAAAAUGGUGCCGUAACUUCGGGAGAAGGCACGCUGGUGUGUAGGUGAAGUCCCUGCGGAUGGAGCUGAGACCAGUCGAAGAUACCAGCUGGCUGCAACUGUUUAUUAAAAACACAGCACUGUGCAAACACGAAAGUGGACGUAUACGGUGUGACGCCUGCCCGGUGCCGGAAGGUUAAUUGAUGGGGUUAUCCGUAAGGAGAAGCUCUUGAUCGAAGCCCCGGUAAACGGCGGCCGUAACUAUAACGGUCCUAAGGUAGCGAAAUUCCUUGUCGGGUAAGUUCCGACCUGCACGAAUGGCGUAAUGAUGGCCAGGCUGUCUCCACCCGAGACUCAGUGAAAUUGAACUCGCUGUGAAGAUGCAGUGUACCCGCGGCAAGACGGAAAGACCCCGUGAACCUUUACUAUAGCUUGACACUGAACAUUGAGCCUUGAUGUGUAGGAUAGGUGGGAGGCUUUGAAGCGUGGACGCCAGUCUGCGUGGAGCCAACCUUGAAAUACCACCCUUUAAUGUUUGAUGUUCUAACGUUGGCCCCUUACCGGGGUUGCGGACAGUGUCUGGUGGGUAGUUUGACUGGGGCGGUCUCCUCCCAAAGCGUAACGGAGGAGCACGAAGGUUAGCUAAUCCUGGUCGGACAUCAGGAGGUUAGUGCAAUGGCAUAAGCUAGCUUGACUGCGAGCGUGACGGCGCGAGCAGGUGCGAAAGCAGGUCAUAGUGAUCCGGUGGUUCUGAAUGGAAGGGCCAUCGCUCAACGGAUAAAAGGUACUCCGGGGAUAACAGGCUGAUACCGCCCAAGAGUUCAUAUCGACGGCGGUGUUUGGCACCUCGAUGUCGGCUCAUCACAUCCUGGGGCUGAAGUAGGUCCCAAGGGUAUGGCUGUUCGCCAUUUAAAGUGGUACGCGAGCUGGGUUUAGAACGUCGUGAGACAGUUCGGUCCCUAUCUGCCGUGGGCGCUGGAGAAUUGAGGGGGGCUGCUCCUAGUACGAGAGGACCGGAGUGGACGCAUCACUGGUGUUCGGGUUGUCAUGCCAAUGGCACUGCCCGGUAGCUAAAUGCGGAAGAGAUAAGUGCUGAAAGCAUCUAAGCACGAAACUUGCCCCGAGAUGAGUUCUCCCUGAGACUUUAAGUCUCCUGAAGGAACGUUAAAGACGAUGACGUUGAUAGGCCGGGUGUGUAAGCGCAGCGAUGCGUUGAGCUAACCGGUACUAAUGAACCGUGAGGCUUAACCUUACAACGCCGAAG
RNAcentral lists this ribosomal RNA (2923 nucleotides) under Klebsiella quasipneumoniae. Its description in RNAcentral is "23S ribosomal RNA". It matches the Rfam family "Bacterial large subunit ribosomal RNA". Lineage: Bacteria; Pseudomonadati; Pseudomonadota; Gammaproteobacteria; Enterobacterales; Enterobacteriaceae. The record is from RNAcentral.